AAAAAGGGAUCUUAUUCUUAUAAGCAUGUAUGUCAGCAUAUUUAGGGGUACACAUGAAAUCUGAGAUUUCUGUUUUCCUGAACCAAUCCUUUCGAUAAAAUGUAAUCUCUCUCGAUCUUCUUUCUCCUGAAACCCUAAUUCUUUUCCUCAAUCGGUUAGGGUUUUGUUUGUCGCACGUAUAACAAUUCAUGCACAACAGUUGUUUCGAACAAUAGUGGUUGAUCAGGGGAUGAUUGGUAGAGAUGGCACGAGAGGUGUUAGCGGAGACGGAAACGACGUCGUUGGAGGGGAUGCUGGUGAAGAAGAAAGGAACGGCGAGUGCACGGAGCUGGAUAUUGAUCGAUAGUGACGUGAAUGAGACGGUUAUGGAUAUUGAUAAGUAUGCAAUCAUGCAUCGAGUUCAGAUUCAUGCUCGUGAUCUCAGAAUUCUCGAUCCUCUUUUGUCUUAUCCAUCUACCAUCUUAGGCCGUGAACGAGCAAUUGUUCUAAAUUUGGAGCAUAUCAAGGCUAUUGUCACUGCUGAAGAGGUGUUGCUUCGAGAUCCUUGGGAUGACAAUGUAAUACCAGUUGUUGAGGAACUUAGGAGGAGAUUGCCUGUUGUAAAUGCCAACGAUGUUGAAACUGGUGAAGAAGAUGAAUCUCCGUUUGAAUUCCGAGCACUUGAGGUUUUCCUAGAGGCCAUCUGCAGCUUUCAUGCUGCCCGUACCACUGAACUAGAAACCGAUGCAUACCCAGCCUUGGAUGAGCUUACAUCUAAGAUCAGUAGCCGUAACUUGGAUCGGGUUCGUAAACUGAAAAGUGCAAUGACAAGGUUGACUGCUCGUGUUCAAAAGGUUAGGGAUGAACUUGAACGACUUUUAGAUGACGAUGAUGACAUGGCAGACCUUUACUUAUCAAGGAAGUUGUCUUCUGGUUCACCAGUAAGCGGGUCAGGUGCAGCUGGUUGGUUUCUUGGGUCACCCACUAUAGGCUCAAAGAUAUCUCGAGCUAGCAGGGCAAGUGUAAUUACGGUUCAUGGAGACGAGAAUGACGUUGAGGAGCUCGAGAUGCUUCUAGAGGCCUACUUUAUGCAAAUUGAUGGAACGUUAAACAAGUUAACAAGCCUGCGCGAAUAUAUUGAUGAUACAGAAGAUUACAUUAACAUUCAGUAGCUUGAAUUUGAGGAUCAUCUCAUUUCCAUUUAUAUGUAUGAUGGCAGCUGGAGCUCUUUCUAAGUUCAGGAACCGUAUGUAUGUCAAUAUAUGCUUUAGUGACUGGCAUAUUUGGGAUGAAUAUACCUUACACGUGGAAUGACGAUCACGGCUACAUGUUUAAAUGGGUGGUGAUUGUGUCGGGUGCAUUCUCUGCAGUUCUUUUUCUUCUGAUUGUUUUCUAUGCUCGAUUUAAAGGGCUCGUUGGAUCUUGAAUCUGAUUACAAAAGUUGUAUUCUUUCAGGCACGAAAGUACUAAUACUGACUCUCUAGUCUCUUGCUUGUUUUCGUUCUUUUAUUUCAAGACGAAGAAGGAGAAGCAAUACAAACUCAAGUUGGACCGACUGUCGUGGUGACAUGGAAAUCAUUGGUUCACCUCAGUUGUCUAUGAAUCUUGAAGAGAGAAUCCCUUUCAAGCUAUAUUGCACUUCUUUCUCUUUAAAUUUGGCUUGUAGAUUUCUGUAAUUUGAAUGGUGGUACAACAGACUAGGGUGUGCAGGGUGCCAAUCGUAUUGGGUUGGCGGAUCCUGUUUGACCAAUUGUUUCACCUGAACACGAUUUGUAUAUGUAUUAGUGUAAAGAUAUAAACUCGAACAGGACCCAUGCACCCACUUAUCCAAAUGAGUUAAGACGGGUUGGCAAGUCAAUAAUGUUUAAACAAGUUAACGGUUUUACAUGUA
This is an RNA transcript of Helianthus annuus (common sunflower), 1870 nucleotides long. It is a transcript of the gene named magnesium transporter MRS2-I, with no coding region annotated. The record is from RefSeq and is a predicted model, not a curated record. Lineage: Eukaryota; Viridiplantae; Streptophyta; Magnoliopsida; Asterales; Asteraceae. The transcript is spliced from 10 exons.